This 757-nucleotide small RNA is filed under the name Rattus norvegicus (Norway rat). RNAcentral's name for it is "uncharacterized LOC103694002". The record is from RNAcentral. Lineage: Eukaryota; Metazoa; Chordata; Mammalia; Rodentia; Muridae.
AUGUUGACUGUGACCCAGGGCAGGUGUUAGCUAUCACCCAGGGCAGAUGUUGGCUAUGAAAGAGACUUGCUAAUGGACGCUCAAUCAAUCCUGACCUGGGUGUUGGAAACCUGUCCCUCCUGCUGCUGACACUCCCCAUGUGCGUCCUUUCAGAAGCAGGGAAGGCUGUGGAAGCUGUGGCCAUGUCAUAACCCUGUGACCUACGUCAGCCAGCUAGACCCUGCCUCCCAGAGUCACACCACUAGCCAAGGAGAACACAGGCCUGAGAUGGGAGCUUAUCACGAUGGUCUGGAUUCAAGCUGUAAAAUACCAUUCCUCCUGAAGCUGCAGAGACCGCUCAUUGCUUCUCUGUGGAGCUGUCAGGACUCUAUGGAAAGCGCUCACUGUAUGUUGUUGACAUGGACGCAGAUGUGGGGACUUUGUCUGCAGAGCCAUGCAAAAUACAAGAGUACAGAAUGAACUACGUGAGAGACUUCCCAGUCCUGGAAAAGCAGAGGCAGCAGCUUGUCAGAAAGAUAAGAAGGCAGAUUCCGGAGUUCAAGGUCGGCCUGGUCCAGAGCAAGGCAGGGCGUAAAACCAGCUUUCAACAACCGCAGUGAAAUCUCAAGGCUCAGUUACUCAGAGCUCUGAAAAGCUGGGCGCUUUUCUCUCGGAGGCAGAAAGGUGCGUUUUUUGAGGAAACAAAUCAGCCAGCGCCAGCAUUUACAUCUGAAAAGGAGAAAAACACGUGUGAUUAAUAAAAGACUCAUCCAGCGUG